Molecule: small nucleolar RNA, 106 nt
Organism: Lathyrus oleraceus (garden pea)
Lineage: Eukaryota; Viridiplantae; Streptophyta; Magnoliopsida; Fabales; Fabaceae
Source: RefSeq, a predicted model, not a curated record
AACCCGUGAUGUGGGAAAGCUCUCAUCAGCUCCUUGUAUCACUCUCACGCUUCAAAUAGUGGUUCACCAUCCAUCUGUCUAAAGUAGGUAAUUUAGUUCCGUAACU